This is a transfer RNA of 72 nucleotides. It matches the Rfam family "tRNA". From Rfam's summary of the family: Transfer RNA (tRNA) molecules are approximately 80 nucleotides in length. Their secondary structure includes four short double-helical elements and three loops (D, anti-codon, and T loops). The record is from Rfam.
GGGCGGUUAGCUCAGCGGUAGAGCACUUCGUUGACAUCGAAGGGGUCACAAGUUCGAUCCUUGUACCGCCCA